GAUGAACGCUGGCGGCGUGCCUAAUACAUGCAAGUCGAGCGAACAGACGAGGAGCUUGCUCCUCUGACGUUAGCGGCGGACGGGUGAGUAACACGUGGAUAACCUACCUAUAAGACUGGGAUAACUUCGGGAAACCGGAGCUAAUACCGGAUAAUAUAUUGAACCGCAUGGUUCAAUAGUGAAAGACGGUUUUGCUGUCACUUAUAGAUGGAUCCGCGCCGCAUUAGCUAGUUGGUAAGGUAACGGCUUACCAAGGCAACGAUGCGUAGCCGACCUGAGAGGGUGAUCGGCCACACUGGAACUGAGACACAGUCCAGACUCCUACGGGAGGCAGCAGUAGGGAAUCUUCCGCAAUGCGCGAAAGCUUGACGGAGCAACGCCGCGUGAGUGAUGAAGGUCUUCGGAUCGUAAAACUCUGUUAUUAGGGAAGAACAAAUGUGUAAGUAACUAUGCACGUCUUGACGGUACCUAAUCAGAAAGCCACGGCUAACUACGUG
RNAcentral lists this ribosomal RNA (497 nucleotides) under uncultured bacterium. RNAcentral's name for it is "partial 16S ribosomal RNA". It matches the Rfam family "Bacterial small subunit ribosomal RNA", at positions 28 to 507 of the family's 1533-position model. The record is from RNAcentral.